UGGGGAAUUUUGGACAAUGGGCGAAAGCCUGAUCCAGCAAUGCCGCGUGUGUGAAGAAGGCCUUCGGGUUGUAAAGCACUUUUGUCCGGAAAGAAAUCCUUGGCUCUAAUACAGUCGGGGGAUGACGGUACCGGAAGAAUAAGCACCGGCUAACUACGUGCCAGCAGCCGCGGUAAUACGUAGGGUGCAAGCGUUAAUCGGAAUUACUGGGCGUAAAGCGUGCGCAGGCGGUUUGCUAAGACCGAUGUGAAAUCCCCGGGCUCAACCUGGGAACUGCAUUGGUGACUGGCAGGCUAGAGUAUGGCAGAGGGGGGUAGAAUUCCACGUGUAGCAGUGAAAUGCGUAGAGAUGUGGAGGAAUACCGAUGGCGAAGGCAGCCCCCUGGGCCAAUACUGACGCUCAUGCACGAAAGCGUGGGGAGCAAACAGGAUUAGAUACCCUGGUAGUCCACGCCCUAAACGAUGUCAACUAGUUGUUGGGGAUUCAUUUCCUUAGUAACGUAGCUAACGCGUGAAGUUGGCCGCCUGGGGAGUACGGUCGCAAGAUUAAAACUCAAAGGAAUUGACGGGGUCAUAGCUGUUUCC
Molecule: ribosomal RNA, 584 nt
Filed under: uncultured bacterium
Lineage: Bacteria
Description: partial 16S ribosomal RNA
Rfam family: Bacterial small subunit ribosomal RNA
Source: RNAcentral